This 612-nucleotide ribosomal RNA is filed under the name uncultured bacterium. Its description in RNAcentral is "bacterial SSU rRNA". It matches the Rfam family "Bacterial small subunit ribosomal RNA", at positions 929 to 1533 of the family's 1533-position model. The record is from RNAcentral.
GCGGUGGAUGAUGUGGUUUAAUUCGAUGCAACGCGAAAAACCUUACCUACCCUUGACAUGUCUGGAAUCCUGCAGAGAUGUGGGAGUGCUCGAAAGAGAACCAGAACACAGGUGCUGCAUGGCCGUCGUCAGCUCGUGUCGUGAGAUGUUGGGUUAAGUCCCGCAACGAGCGCAACCCUUGUCAUUAGUUGCUACGAAAGGGCACUCUAAUGAGACUGCCGGUGACAAACCGGAGGAAGGUGGGGAUGACGUCAGGUCCUCAUGGCCCUUAUGGGUAGGGCUACACACGUCAUACAAUGGCCGGUACAGAGGGCUGCCAACCCGCGAGGGGGAGCUAAUCCCAUAAAACCGGUCGUAGUCCGGAUCGCAGUCUGCAACUCGACUGCGUGAAGUCGGAAUCGCCAGUAAUCGCGGAUCAGCUUGCCGCGGUGAAUACGUUCCCGGGUCUUGUACACACCGCCCGUCACACCAUGGGAGCGGGUUCUGCCAGAAGUAGUUAGCCUAACCGCAAGGAGGGCGAUUACCACGGCAGGGUUCGUGACUGGGGUGAAGUCGUAACAAGGUAGCCGUAUCGGAAGGUGCGGCUGGAACACCUCCUUCUAGACUGCAGAA